CCUGGUUGAUCCUGCCAGUAGUCAUAUGCUUAUCUCAAAGAUUAAGCCAUGCAUGUCUAAGUAUGAACUAAUUAAGACUGUGAAACUGCGGAUGGCUCAUUAAAUCAGGUAUAGUUUUUUUUAUGGUACCAUACUACUUGGAUAAUCAUAGUAAUUCUAGAGCUAAUACAUGCACCAAGUCCCGAAUUUUUGGAAGGGAUGCAUUUUUUAGAUAAAAGGCCGGUACGGGCUUGCUCGCUUCUCCGAUGAAUCAUGAUAACUCGACGGAUCGCACAACCCUUGUGCUGGCAAUGCUUCAUUCAAAUUUCUUCCCUAUCAACUUUCAACAGUAGGAUAGAGGCCUACCAUGGUGGUGAUGGGUGACGGAGAAUUAGGGUUCGAUUCUGGAGAGGGAGCCUGAGAAACGGCUAACACAUCCAAGGAAGGCAGCAAGACCGCAAAUUACCCAAUCCUGACAUGGGGAGGUAGUGACAAUAAAUAACAAUAUUGGGCUCAUCGUCUGGUGCCAACUGCCGCAGUAAUUCCAACUCCAAUAGCGUAUAUUUAAGUUGUUGCAGUUAAAAAACUCGUAGUUGGAUCUUGGGUCGUAAAGGUCGGUCCGCCUACUCGGUGUGCACCUGCCCUUCCAUCCCUUUUGUCAGCAGCGUGCUCCUGGCCUUAAUUGGCUGGGUCGUGGCUCCGACGCUGUUACUUUGAAAAAAUUAGAGUGCUCAAAGCAAGCUUAUGCUCUGAAUACAUUAGCAUGGAAUAACGUGAUAGGAUUCUGGUCCUAUUGUGUUGGCCUUUGGGACCAGAGUAAUGAUUAAUAGGGACUGUCGGGGGCAUUCGUAUUUCAUUGUCAAAGGUGAAAUUCUUGGAUUUAUGAAAGAUGGACCACUGCGAAAGCAUUUGCCAAGGAUUUUUUCAUUAAUCAAGAAUGAAAGUUGGGGGCUCGAAUACGAUAAGAUACCAUCCUAGUCUCAACCAUAAAUGAUGCCAAUCAGAGUGUUUGGGUUCCCGGGGGAGUAUCGUCGCAAGGCUGAAACAUAAAGGAAUUGACGGAAGGGCACCACCAAGAGUGGAUCCUGCGGCUUAAUUUGACUCAACACGGGGAAACUUACCAGGUCUAGACAUAGUAAGAAUUGACAGAUUGAGAGCUCUUUCUUGAUUCUAUGGGUGGUGGUGCAUGACCGUUCUUAGUUGGUGGAGCGAUUUGUCUGGUUAAUUUCGAUAACAAAUGAGACCUCAGCCUGCUAACUAGCUACACAGAGGUUCCCCUUCAUGGCCAGCUUCUUAGAGGGACUAUGGCCAUUUAGGCCAUGGAAGUUUGAGGCAAUAACAGGUUUGUGAUGCCCUUAGAUGUUCUGGGCCGCAAGCGCACUACAUUGAUGCAGCCAAGGAGCUUUUCUUCCUGGUUCAAGAGGAUCAAGAAAUCUUCUUAAAUUGCAUUUUGAUGGGGAUAGACCAUUGCAAUUAUUGGUCUUCAACGAGGAAUUCCUAGUAAGCGCAUGUCAUCAAAUCGUGUUGACUACGUCCCUAACUUUUGUACACACCGCCCGUCACUCCUACUGAUUGAAUGAUCCAGUGAAGUGUUCGGAUUGCGUCGACGAUGGUGGUCCGCCGCCAUCGAAGUCGUGAGAAGUUCAUUGAACCUUAUCAUUUAGAGGAAGGAGAAGUCAUAACAAGGUUACCGUAGGUGAACCUGCGGUAG
RNAcentral lists this ribosomal RNA (1690 nucleotides) under Pinus taeda (loblolly pine). RNAcentral's name for it is "SSU rRNA". It matches the Rfam family "Eukaryotic small subunit ribosomal RNA". The record is from RNAcentral. Lineage: Eukaryota; Viridiplantae; Streptophyta; Pinopsida; Pinales; Pinaceae.